Molecule: long non-coding RNA, 2492 nt
Filed under: Gallus gallus (chicken)
Lineage: Eukaryota; Metazoa; Chordata; Aves; Galliformes; Phasianidae
Source: RNAcentral
CACAGCAGCAGCACAGCCGUGAAUGCAUACACAAGGAAACAGAGAGGAAUGAGACCUGGGAUUACAUCUCUGAUGCGAUGAGCUGCAGCACAACCUAGAAGGAUUCAUCCAUUGCCCAACAAAGGUCACCUUCUGCUCACUAGGACAUCAAACCUCACAGCAUCCUCAUACGAUGAGAACCUUUUGCUGGAUCCCCGCUUGGGAGCAAGUUCUUGCUGAUUGAGAAGCUCAUGAGAUACAUCUCAUUUCCCUGGAGGUCCUCAGGGAGGCAGCGGUCAGACAAUCCUUUCCUAGCCUACUUUGGGCAACGCUGGUGGUACAGCACUGCUGGCACUGCAUGUGAGCUGCUGUGCUGGUACUGGGCUCCUUGGGCAGAGCGUGAUUCAGCCUUCAGUAUUACAGCAGUCAUUAUUCCAAAGGAGCCCGCAGUUUGGGACCAAACAGUGAUGGUCACAGAUACUGAAUCAACUGGAUAAAGCACCAGCCAAAUACAUUUCUGUGAAGAGUUUCAAAGUUGGUGUUUCCCACUGGAAAAAAUAUAGCACUUUUCAUCUCAUUCUACUCGACCCAGCAAACCGAGCUGGGCUCCAGGAGCGACACACAUCUGAAAUGUGCUGUGAGGUGCAGCCAUGCUCUCCCUGUCACUCAGGAAGCCCACUGCCGGGGCACAGCUGUGGGACAGGAGCUCAUGCCAGUGCCCAGCUGAUGAAGUGAAGGGACCGUGUGCUGCUGGCUCUGAAGUGAAAACAAUCACUCUGAAAUCUUAGAGCUUCCUCAGAAAUGUAAAAAAAAUGGGGUGGGAGCACAAGUUAAUUGUGCUUUUACACACUGUUAUACUUGUCACCGUGCCAGACUCUACAUUUCUUCCAAGGGUGAAAUGAAAACUCCAAAUUCAUCUGGUUAUGAAACAAUCUCAGUAUGAGCACUCAGUGAAGAAUUAUAAAGUGGGAAAGACACAGUCCUGUGUCUCAGCUGGUUGAGAAGGCUCUGAAUUGAUCAAGGCUUAUUCCAGCGUGGAGGAGUUUUCUGGAGUGUACUGAAACCAUUCUGCAUCUGCAUAUCAAAUGCAUAUAAAGAACCACAGAAAAGCUGAUGUGUUAUGACAUUACUUUGAUUAGGAGAUGAGGCAACUGGCAGAAGGCAUCACUGUAAUUCCAAGAAGUCUCAUUUCUCUGCAUCUAGAAAUUUAGGAAAUGAGUCUGGUUUGUCUGCUUUACACCAGAAUCGACUCAUACAUUGCAAACACGGCGAGAACUCAUUGGCACUAUAGGGUACUCCUGGAGAUAAGAUGGUGGUGAGAGACCUGGAUGAGCAAGGACUGAACACCUCUUUCUCUGCCUACAGUGUAUGGGAACUGUUGAGUCACAGCCUGAACCACUGAUUGAUCACCUGAGGGAAGGAGUGGGUAAGCUGUGGGGACACAGGUAAAGGCAAUUCAGCUAUGUGACUGUAAGGGUUGGAACAAGGUUCCACUCCUCCUAGACCCCAUUUAAGGGCUGACUGCCACUGGGGAAAGAGCUCUUUCUGGAGAUCGCUCCUUUGUGGAGUCUUUCAUUAUGAGCCUGAAUCUUUGGAUACAGGUGAACAUUCCUUCUCUGUCUGUUCCUUUGCCAUCUCGUUAUGAUACUCUUUCCAACUGUACAUUUGUUGACUGUACAUACAGUAAUGCAGCUGAGAUACUCGAAGCUAUUUGUAAGCUUAGCUGGAGACAGCCCUACUCUCUGUUAGUCAUGAGACUAAUGAAGCGCAGUGCGAAUUUAAAAUCAGGCUAACCCUUAUGUUUCUGUCCUCUGUGCUUCCAUGUGCUUCAUUGAGGCUGGAAGUAUAAGGUCAGUCCUGAUUAACAUCACCAUGAAAGGAGAACCAGUCCAAAAUAACAGUCUCAUUGGACAAGUAGUGUUUUAUUUUUAUUUUAUUUUUAUUGUUAUUAGAGAUAAGUCAAAGAGUCAAAGUACCUCAAGGCUAAAUCAAAACUGGAACCAAUCCACAUCAGAAACUUGAGUGUGCCUAAGGCUGGCACAUAGAACUAGUCUUGUAUAUACAUAAAUUCAUACCCUUCAAAAUACUUGGUAGUCUCACUCCUACUUGGGUGCUCAGCUCCCAUUGAUAAUGCCAUGUGUUAAUUCAGGCACCCAGGCUUUCGUGUAAUGUUCUUACUAUGAAGAACAGUUGGCCUUGAGGGAAAACAUUUACACAGAUGACACUAUUUUCAGGAAAAUGAAAAGUACUGGGUGAAAAAGAAAGUUUUGACACUGUGUGAGGUGUAGAGUUUACACACAGUAGUUUUUGUUGCAUGUAUAUGAAUGGGUGAUUGACCAUAUUUAAAUAAAAUAAAUUCACACACCAUUUGUAAGUGUCUAAUUUAUGUAUUUGUAGAGAGAAAUGGAAACCUUGGUUUGAAAAGCAGUUUGCGUAACAUCUGGUAUGUCAACAGUGUAACCUUCCAAUUUACUCACUGGUGAAAAUAUCAAUAGAACGAACCUGUAUUCAGC